RNAcentral lists this transfer RNA (111 nucleotides) under Gaeumannomyces tritici R3-111a-1. RNAcentral's name for it is "tRNA GGTG_20007". It matches the Rfam family "tRNA". From Rfam's summary of the family: Transfer RNA (tRNA) molecules are approximately 80 nucleotides in length. The record is from Rfam by way of RNAcentral. Lineage: Eukaryota; Fungi; Ascomycota; Sordariomycetes; Magnaporthales; Magnaporthaceae.
GGCUAGGUGGCCGAGUGGUUAAGGCGUAUGUUUCAAGAGAGAUUCUUCUCUUCCCCACCAGGGAAAACACAUAUCUCGAAAGAGUCAUCAGUUCGAAUCUGGUCCUAGUCA